This 534-nucleotide ribosomal RNA is filed under the name Escherichia coli. RNAcentral describes it as "bacterial SSU rRNA". It matches the Rfam family "Bacterial small subunit ribosomal RNA", at positions 999 to 1533 of the family's 1533-position model. RNAcentral also lists the same sequence under 3 other names. The record is from RNAcentral. Lineage: Bacteria; Pseudomonadati; Pseudomonadota; Gammaproteobacteria; Enterobacterales; Enterobacteriaceae.
UUCAGAGAUGAGAAUGUGCCUUCGGGAACCGUGAGACAGGUGCUGCAUGGCUGUCGUCAGCUCGUGUUGUGAAAUGUUGGGUUAAGUCCCGCAACGAGCGCAACCCUUAUCCUUUGUUGCCAGCGGUCCGGCCGGGAACUCAAAGGAGACUGCCAGUGAUAAACUGGAGGAAGGUGGGGAUGACGUCAAGUCAUCAUGGCCCUUACGACCAGGGCUACACACGUGCUACAAUGGCGCAUACAAAGAGAAGCGACCUCGCGAGAGCAAGCGGACCUCAUAAAGUGCGUCGUAGUCCGGAUUGGAGUCUGCAACUCGACUCCAUGAAGUCGGAAUCGCUAGUAAUCGUGGAUCAGAAUGCCACGGUGAAUACGUUCCCGGGCCUUGUACACACCGCCCGUCACACCAUGGGAGUGGGUUGCAAAAGAAGUAGGUAGCUUAACCUUCGGGAGGGCGCUUACCACUUUGUGAUUCAUGACUGGGGUGAAGUCGUAACAAGGUAACCGUAGGGGAACCUGCGGUUGGAUCACCUCCUUA